GAACGCUGGCGGCGUGCCUAAUACAUGCAAGUCGAGCGAACGGACGAGAAGCUUGCUUUUCUGAUGUUAGCGGCGGACGGGUGAGUAACACGUGGAUAACCUACCUAUAAGACUGGGAUAACUUCGGGAAACCGGAGCUAAUAUCGGAUAAUAUUUUGAACCGCAUGGUUCAAAAGUGAAAGACGGUCUUGCUGUCACUUAUAGAUGGAUCCGCGCUGCAUUAGCUAGUUGGUAAGGUAACGGCUUACCAAGGCAACGAUGCAUAGCCGACCUGAGAGGGUGAUCGGCCACACUGGAACUGAGACACGGUCCAGACUCCUACGGGAGGCAGCAGUAGGGAAUCUUCCGCAAUGGGCGAAAGCCUGACGGAGCAACGCCGCGUGAGUGAUGAAGGUCUUCGGAUCGUAAAACUCUGUUAUUAGGGAAGAACAUAUGUGUAAGUAACUGUGCACAUCUUGACGGUACCUAAUCAGAAAGCCACGGCUAACUACGUG
Molecule: ribosomal RNA, 494 nt
Filed under: uncultured bacterium
Lineage: Bacteria
Description: partial 16S ribosomal RNA
Rfam family: Bacterial small subunit ribosomal RNA
Source: RNAcentral